CCUACGGGGGGCUGUAGUGGGGAAUAUUGGACAAUGGGGGGAACCCUGAUCCAGCCAUGCCGCGUGUGUGAAGAAGGCCCUCGGGUUGUAAAGCACUUUCAGUGAGGAAGAACGCCUGGUGGUUAAUACCCAUCAGGAAAGACAUCACUCACAGAAGAAGCACCGGCUAACUCCGUGCCAGCAGCCGCGGUAAUACGGAGGGUGCGAGCGUUAAUCGGAAUUACUGGGCGUAAAGCGCGCGUAGGUGGCUUGAUAAGCCGGUUGUGAAAGCCCCGGGCUCAACCUGGGAACGGCAUCCGGAACUGUCAAGCUAGAGUGCAGGAGAGGAAGGUAGAAUUCCCGGUGUAGCGGGGAAAUGCGUAGAGAUCGGGAGGAAUACCAGUGGCGAAGGCGGCCUUCUGGACUGACACUGACACUGAGGUGCGAAAGCGUGGGUAGCAAACAGGAUUAGAUACCCCAGUAGUC
This 465-nucleotide ribosomal RNA is filed under the name Vreelandella stevensii. RNAcentral describes it as "partial 16S ribosomal RNA". It matches the Rfam family "Bacterial small subunit ribosomal RNA", at positions 338 to 795 of the family's 1533-position model. The record is from RNAcentral. Lineage: Bacteria; Pseudomonadati; Pseudomonadota; Gammaproteobacteria; Oceanospirillales; Halomonadaceae.